AUUAUUUUGACAGAUUAAAUGUAAUAAAUUUAAAAUUUAUUUAUGUAUUUUAAAAUACAAGUAAUA
RNAcentral lists this transfer RNA (66 nucleotides) under Proterops sp. QL-2014. Its description in RNAcentral is "tRNA-Leu". The record is from RNAcentral. Lineage: Eukaryota; Metazoa; Arthropoda; Insecta; Hymenoptera; Braconidae.